UACGUAGGGUGCAAGCGUUAAUCGGAAUGACUGGGCGUAAAGGGUGCGCAGGCGGUUUUUUAAGUCAGAUGUGAAAUCCCUGGGCUUAACCUAGGAAUGGCAUUUGAGACUGGGGAACUAGAGUGUAUCAGAGGGGGGUGGAACUCCACGUGUAGCAGUGAAAUGCGUAGAGAUGUGGAAGAACACCGAUGGCGAAGGCAGCCCCCUGGGAAGACACUGACGCUCAGGCACGAAAGCGUGGGGAGCAAACAGG
RNAcentral lists this ribosomal RNA (253 nucleotides) under uncultured bacterium. Its description in RNAcentral is "partial 16S ribosomal RNA". It matches the Rfam family "Bacterial small subunit ribosomal RNA", at positions 524 to 776 of the family's 1533-position model. The record is from RNAcentral.